UACGGAGGGUGCAAGCGUUAAUCGGAAUUACUGGGCGUAAAGCGCGCGUAGGUGGUUUGGUAAGUCAGAUGUGAAAGCCCCGGGCUCAACCUGGGAAUUGCUUCUGAUACUGCUGGACUAGAGUACAGUAGAGGGCAGUGGAAUUUCCGGUGUAGCGGUGAAAUGCGUAGAUAUCGGAAGGAACACCAGUGGCGAAGGCGACUGCCUGGACUGAUACUGACACUGAGGUGCGAAAGCGUGGGUAGCAAACAGG
This 253-nucleotide ribosomal RNA is filed under the name uncultured bacterium. RNAcentral describes it as "partial 16S ribosomal RNA". It matches the Rfam family "Bacterial small subunit ribosomal RNA", at positions 524 to 776 of the family's 1533-position model. The record is from RNAcentral.